Molecule: ribosomal RNA, 117 nt
Filed under: Lepisosteus oculatus (spotted gar)
Lineage: Eukaryota; Metazoa; Chordata; Actinopteri; Semionotiformes; Lepisosteidae
Source: RNAcentral
GCCAGCAGCCAUAUCACCCUGCAGCUCUCAACUGGGAGCCCACUGGAGCUCAGCAGGGUUGAGCCAGGUCAGUACCUGGAUGGGAGACCCUCUGGGAAGCAAUGGCUGCUGCUGGAA